Non-coding RNA from Triticum urartu, 135 nucleotides. Lineage: Eukaryota; Viridiplantae; Streptophyta; Magnoliopsida; Poales; Poaceae. The record is from Rfam.
AUAGUAUUUCCUUCGUCCCAAAAUUAUUGUCUUACAUUUGUCUAAAUACGGAUGUAUCAAGUCACGUUUUAGUAUUAGAUACAUCCGUAUCUAGACAAAUUUAAGACAAGAAUUUUGGGAUGGAGGGAGUAUAUG